AGAGUUUGAUCCUGGCUCAGAUUGAACGCUGGCGGCAUGCUUUACACAUGCAAGUCGAACGGCAGCGCGGGGCAACCUGGCGGCGAGUGGCGAACGGGUGAGUAAUAUGUCGGAACGUACCCAAGAGUGGGGGAUAACGUAGCGAAAGUUACGCUAAUACCGCAUACGAUCUACGGAUGAAAGUGGGGGAUCGCAAGACCUCAUGCUCCUGGAGCGGCCGAUAUCUGAUUAGCUAGUUGGUGAGGUAAAGGCUCACCAAGGCGACGAUCAGUAGCUGGUCUGAGAGGACGACCAGCCACACUGGAACUGAGACACGGUCCAGACUCCUACGGGAGGCAGCAGUGGGGAAUUUUGGACAAUGGGCGCAAGCCUGAUCCAGCAAUGCCGCGUGAGUGAAGAAGGCCUUCGGGUUGUAAAGCUCUUUUGUCAGGGAAGAAACGGUUGGGGCUAAUAUCCUCGGCUAAUGACGGUACCUGAAGAAUAAGCACCGGCUAACUACGUGCCAGCAGCCGCGGUAAUACGUAGGGUGCAAGCGUUAAUCGGAAUUACUGGGCGUAAAGCGUGCGCAGGCGGUUUUGUAAGUCUGACGUGAAAGCCCCGGGCUCAACCUGGGAAUUGCGUUGGAGACUGCAAGGCUUGAAUCUGGCAGAGGGGGGUAGAAUUCCACGUGUAGCAGUGAAAUGCGUAGAGAUGUGGAGGAACACCGAUGGCGAAGGCAGCCCCCUGGGUCAAGAUUGACGCUCAUGCACGAAAGCGUGGGGAGCAAACAGGAUUAGAUACCCUGGUAGUCCACGCCCUAAACGAUGUCUACUAGUUGUCGGGUCUUAAUUGACUUGGUAACGCAGCUAACGCGUGAAGUAGACCGCCUGGGGAGUACGGUCGCAAGAUUAAAACUCAAAGGAAUUGACGGGGACCCGCACAAGCGGUGGAUGACGUGGAUUAAUUCGAUGCAACGCGAAAAACCUUACCUACCCUUGACAUGUCAGGAACCUCCGAGAGAUCGGAGGGUGCCCGAAAGGAACC
This 1023-nucleotide ribosomal RNA is filed under the name uncultured bacterium. RNAcentral's name for it is "bacterial SSU rRNA". It matches the Rfam family "Bacterial small subunit ribosomal RNA", at positions 8 to 1028 of the family's 1533-position model. The record is from RNAcentral.